GAUGAACGCUGGCGGCGUGCCUAAUACAUGCAAGUCGAGCGAACAGACGAGGAUCUUGCUCCUCUGACGUUAGCGGCGGACGGGUGAGUAACACGUGGAUAACCCACCUAUAUGACUGGGAUAACUUCGGGAAACCGGAGCUAAUACCGGAUAAUAUAUUGAACCGCAUGGUUCAAUAGUGAAAGACGGUUUUGCUGUCACUUAUAGAUGGAUCCGCGCUGCAUUAGCUAGUUGUUAAGUUAACGGCUUAGCAAGGCGACGAUGCGUAGACGACCGGAGAGAGUGAUCGGCCACACGAGAACUGAGCCGGGGACCAGGCUCCUGAGGGAGGCAGCAGUAGGGAAUCUUCCGCAGUGGGCGAAAGCAUGACGGAGCAACGCCGCGUGAGUGAUGAAGGUCUUCGGAUCGUGAAACUCUGUUAUUAGGGAAGAACAAAUGUGUAAGUAACUGUGCACGUCUUGACGGUACCUAGUAAGAAAGCCACGGCUAACUACGUG
This 497-nucleotide ribosomal RNA is filed under the name uncultured bacterium. Its description in RNAcentral is "partial 16S ribosomal RNA". It matches the Rfam family "Bacterial small subunit ribosomal RNA", at positions 28 to 507 of the family's 1533-position model. The record is from RNAcentral.